Molecule: ribosomal RNA, 537 nt
Filed under: uncultured bacterium
Lineage: Bacteria
Description: bacterial SSU rRNA
Rfam family: Bacterial small subunit ribosomal RNA
Source: RNAcentral
GUACGGGGGCGGCAUUUAGGAAUAUUGGCAAUGGAUGUAAGCUCGACCCACCCUUCGGGAGGGAAGGAGGACGGCCCUAUGGGUUUUAAAUUGCUUUUAGAGAGAAAAAAACCCCUGUAUGUGUCAGGGGAUGACGGUACAAAGAAUAAGCAUCGGCUAACUCCGUGCCAGCAGCUGCGGUAAUACGGAGCAUGCUAGCGUUAUCCGGAUUCAUUGGGUUUAAAGGGUGCGCAGGCGGGUCAGUAAGUCAGUGGUGAAAUUCUCCCGCUCAACCGUCGAACUGCCAUUGAUACUGUUGUUCUUGAGUACAGGUGAGGUAGUCUGAAUAUGUAAUGUAGCGGUGAAAUGCAUAGAUAUUACACAGAACACCGAGCGCGAAGGCAGCUCACUAAACACGCACUGACGCUGAGGCACGAAAGCGUGGCGAGCGAACAGGAUUAGAUACCCUGGUCGUCCACGCAGUAAACGAUGCUCACUCGCUGUCGCGAUACACGAUCAGUGGCAAGCGAAAGCAUAAGUAUCCCCUGGAUCGGCGGG